AAAUUCUUUCAGCAGAAUUCAGCUAGACAAAAAAACAACAACAAAAAAACAAUCACUACAGCCUUCCAAGAAGAUGGACUGCCUCACAAUAGUUUCCUUGAGGACUGUCUUGAAAUAUCCAGAGUUUAAGAUUCAAGAAACGGACUCUAUCUGGAAAAGGAAAACAAUAUCAAAGCUCCUCUGUGAGAAGUUGGCCAAGGAAAGCAUUCAGAAGAAAGUGGAGAUUCAUUGUUUUCACCAGAUCCAGUAGAUCACAGAAAGCAUCUAGUAGGGGAGGUCUACAGAUCGAAGCAUGCCAAAUGUGUAAAGAACAAGUUUCCAGGAUUAAGCCAGCCAGUAGAUGAGACUAUUAUAUCAAAAAUACAUUUGUACACGAGGGCACACAAAGCGUUGAUGAAACAAAAAGACAUUUCCGUCUGUUUGUAAAGGAUACUAUUUCACCAGGGAACACCAUCUCAGAAUUUAACAGAUGCUUUUACCCCGCCAAUAAGGAUGUAAGAAAUCACAUUUACAGGGCACCGAGAUUUUGCCAGGUAGUUUAGAACUGUGUGCAUUGGUUUUGGAAGAAUUUGGGCUGUUUAGGCUAAAAUCCAUUAUGAUUGGACAGAAUAUGAACACACACAUCCGAUACUUCAAAGAUAUUAUGUUUGUGGAGGCAGAGAUUUUGAUUGCAUCCACUGUUUAGAAUACAUCCUUAAGGGAAGCAGACUGCCGCCUUUACGCAAUGAUAUAAUGAUUAAUCAUAACUAUAUCUGUUUUGUACCAAAUAGAAAGAGCAUUGAUUCAGGUCAUUUUCAAAUCCAUUGGCAUACAUUGUACUAUACAUGCAACCUUUUCAAACUUUACAUUUAAGAUUUUAUAAAGGAAAUAUCUUAAUGUUUCACAUGUUUACCUUUCACUGUGCUAUGUAAUUCAUUAUACCUGCCAUUAUGCCAGUCUUCCUGAACAUAAUUUGUUUUCUGCAAUUUCAUUGGCCAAGAGGCUUAAUCCUGGGUUAUCAGAUUGAGCAUUUAUAUUUAGUAUCCCAUUGAUUUUGUCAGCCCUAUAUAAGGAGCUGACUCAGAUUUACUCACUCUGCUAGGUUAAAGAACUCUAAGGUUUGUACUUUUCACAUGAAUUUCGUGUUCACCUCUUAUCUUUUACAUAGAGUAGGAAAUGAACAUAACAUUGAGUUAGGGAACAAUUUAGAUCUAACAUUAUAAUAUGUAAAUACCUUAGCAGAGUCAAUUUACUUGGUUCAGGGUAGUAUCAGAUAUUACUUUUUCAGAGUUUAAGUGUUUAGGCUAUCUCAAUGUUUCUAUAGUUAGCCUUUUCCUAUGUUACUUUUAGAUGUAUGGAAGCCUUUUAGUGUUAUAACACUAUAUUUAUGCCCCCAUUCAAAGAAGAGGGGCAUAUUGGUUUGCACCUGUUGGUCGGUCGGUAGACCACAUGUUGUCCGCUUAAUAUCUUAAGAACCAUUCACUUGAUUGUAAUAUAUUUCAUAUGUGGGUUGGUUAUGAAAAGAAGAGGACCCCAAUUGUUUUUCUGGUCGAAAUGUCAAGGGUCAAUCUACUCUGGACAUAGGAAGACACUGCCUGCUCAAUAUCUUGAGAACCCUUUGCUUGACAGACAUCAAACUUGGUACACUGGUACAUCUCAAGGAGUAGAUUUGAGGUCACAUGGUCAAAAGUCAAGGGGUAAACUGGACAUAGUAAUAUAUUGUCUCUUAUGUUUUAAGAAUUAUUUGCUUGAUUGACACCAAACCUGGUACAGCAUAAGGAGGAGAUGACCCCUAUUGAUUUUUAGGUCACUUGGUCAAUCCACUCCUGACACAGGAAGAUAUUGUUUGCUCAAUAUUUCGAAUUGAUGAUACUACUAUCAAUCAAAUUAUGCAUGUGUAUAACCCUUUUCAAUUUUGCACCAUGGGGGCUUAUAUGUUUUACAAACACCUCAUGUUUUAUAGUUUGUGAAAGCUUGUUAGGGUCAUAACUUUAGAUUUUCUUAUUAUGGUACUUGCCCGUCAGAGACUGGACAUAUUAUGGUAUGGUGUUGUCUGUCCGGACCUUGUAAGAUGGGAUACAGACUGAACCGUAAGCUCCAGAAUCUUACAACUUGGUACAUUUGAUCACCAUAAAAGGAAGAUGCUUAUUGUUUUUUAAGGUCAAGGUUGUAGGUUCACUUAAUAGGAAAACCUUGUUUGAGAAAAUUACAGAUUCUUGAACUGAGUAUUUUGAGGAAACAUUACAUAGAAAGUACAUGAUUUGUCAAAUUUCUCCCAAUAUUCAACUGAGAACCUUAUUCUGCAGAGUAUUUGUAUGGGUAUGGAAAAUGUGUAUGUGGCUAUGAUUUUGAUUUUUGUUUAAUUUUUUUGUUGUUGUUGAAAAUUACAGGUUUAACCGAGUCAGUUUUUGAGGAAAUAUACAUGUAUUAAAUAAAUGACGGUUUGACCUUUUAACUCCUCUCACAGUUUUGAAACUUGGGUCUUUGUAAAUAACUUCUUUGGUGUUUUAGAAUAUUUACAGAUUGUUGAUCAUGGUAAAUUUUGGGGAAAUAUUUUCCGCAGAGCUCUAGUUGUCUAUCUACCGGCCUCCUGUCACUUUUAAGUUUAGGAGCUUUUAUUCAUGGAAAGAAAGUAUAUGACAGCCUGAUGAUGGCUGAUACUAUUUAAAGCCUUUUUAUACGCCCGUCUUAAGACGGGACGUAUUAUGGUAUGGCGUUCAUGUCCGUCCGUCUGUUAGCUUUUUCGUGUCCGACCCGUAACUUAAAUACUACAAGGCCUAGAAUCAUCAAACUUUGUCUGUAGAUACAUCUUGGGUAGAAGGUGUGUCGCACAUUAAAACCAGGUUACUAUGACUUUUCAUUAAGAAGAUAUCCGUCUGUCCAUCCGUCUGUUAGCUUUUUCGUGUCCGACCCGUAACUUAAAAACAAGGCCUAGAAUCAUCAAACUUUGUCUGUAGAUACAUCUUGGGUAGAAGGUGUGUCGCACAUUAAAACCAGGUCACUGUGACUUUUCAUUAAGAAGAUAUGGCCAUAUAUGGCAAAAACUUGUCUGGCUCAUAACUUGAAAACUAUUAGACCUAGAAUCACCAAAAUUGGUCAACUAAUGCAUCUUAGGUAGAAGGUGUGUCGCAUCCUACUUUAAGGUCACUUUGACAUUUAAUUAAGGUAAUAUAAAAAAAAUGUUUUAAUGGGUACAAUCUAUACUGUUAACAGUAUGUGACGGGCGUAUCAUGUGCCGUGGCGGUGCACUUUAUUCUAGAAAUGGCAUCAGAAAAACACCCUAUGUAACCUUUUCUGCUUAUACUCAUUUAUUUUUAUUGGAAAACUUAUUACUUGUUAUCAGCUACUCUAAAACAAUAUUGACUUGUGCUAUAAUAAAUUUGUAAACUUUACAA
Molecule: long non-coding RNA, 3374 nt
Organism: Ostrea edulis (European flat oyster)
Lineage: Eukaryota; Metazoa; Mollusca; Bivalvia; Ostreida; Ostreidae
Exons: 6
Source: RefSeq, a predicted model, not a curated record